RNAcentral lists this long non-coding RNA (3690 nucleotides) under Sus scrofa (pig). Its description in RNAcentral is "lncRNA (ENSSSCG00005013554.1)". The record is from RNAcentral. Lineage: Eukaryota; Metazoa; Chordata; Mammalia; Artiodactyla; Suidae.
UUGUAUAAAUGCUAUAAAUAUUUAACAUUACAAAUGUACAUCUAUAAAUCAUAAAACAAUAUGCCAAAUAACAGCUGCUUAUUUAUUCUUUGGCCAAAGAUUUAUCUUCCUGAAGUAUGAGUGCUAGUUGGAAGAGUUAUGAAGGGGGAGAGAGAAGCUAAAAAAAAAGAGAGAAAAAUAAUAUUUUUCUUUAUUAAUUUCAUUUUCCAAGAGAAGCACAUUCAAAUUCUGACUCAGAGAGGUAACCACUAAGAGGAUUACCCUUCCUGGAAGCAAAGCUUCAAUGCGUUUAAUAACAGCAGGUCUAUGUCUGCCACAUAACUGAAAACGAUCUGAAUGUCUACUGCAAGAAAACUUCACAAACUUUCUGUCACUGGAAGUUCUCUUUCCUGAAUCAAACUGUAUAUAUAAAUUGUAAUAUAUACACUUAGUAGCAUAUGUGUUCAUAAAAUAAUAUCUAUAGCUCACAUUGAAAUGACUUAGUGUAGGCGACAUUGAUAAAUGGUAAAUACGCACUAGGUGAAAAUUAGGUGAUCACAUAUAAUCAUACUUUCAAAUGAAUGCAUAGACUUCCCCUCCACUCCUGCAGCCCUGAUAAUUUUGCUGGAGCUAUUUUUCCAAAGCAAACUUUUAACACAUCAUAGUCCAACUUCCCAUUUUUUCAAGGCUCUUUCACUUGUACCCUUGUUCAAAUGUAUUAUUUGAAAAUUACGAAGAAAAAUUUUGUUUCCUGACAUGCUGAUAUCAUGAGAUAAUAAGAAUGACUGGGCUAAAUGGCAUUAGGGUUUAAAUGGUUGACUGAGCAUUCCCAUCAGGGAAUCCUCACUGUGUUUUGACAUACACUGGGGUUCAGAGGUUCUCUUUGAAUAUACGUUGGGGUUCAAAGACAUACACUGGGAUUUAAAGACACAAGAGUGUCUGAAAUAUUAAGACUCUGGGUGUUUCUUUAAAUGUGAUGAUGCUUAGUAAUAUAAUUGGAAAGUUAAAGGUGUUUUCAGUCACACUCUGUCUUUGCUGAGAUAUCUGAACUGUCUUAGCUUGAGGCUAAACUCACACGUAAGCUGUAGAGCAUGAUCCUUCACCCAUUCUCCAUCCAAACAAUAUCUGGGAGUGCUCAUCUCAAAACUGGAAAUGACAAUCAUCACUAAAUGCCCUUCCAGCUACGAUUCCACUUUCCUCUCUCACCAUAACAGGAAUUUUCUUGCCCAAGCACAUUUCUCUUUUUAUUAAGCAGAUACUUAUUACUUUGUGUUUAAAGAUCUGCCCUUAAGAAUACUUGGGUUUAAGACCUUACUUCUUUACAUCAUCUGUGUAUGAGCUUUUGGAAGGUUAUUCUCCUUCUCAAACCUAUUUCUCCAUCUAUAAAAUAUGGAUAAAAACCUUACCCAUUUUAUGAUGAUUAAUGAAAAGAAAAUUCAUUCAAAUUAUUGAGCACAUAUUGGUAUACAGAAAAUAUUAAAAAUAUAAGAUGUAAUUAUGAUCUAAAUUGGAUUUUGAGAAAAUGUGAUGAUAAUUAUUCUGGCAGAAAUGGACUGGUUCUGUCCUCAAAUUAUGACCCACUAAUAAGGUCAUAAGUUUCUAAAAGAAAAGAGAUAAACAAGAGAAGCUUUAAACAUCUCUCUAUCCAAGGACUACAAAUACUCUAUCUCUAUUAUUUAUAUACAGUAAUGGGAAUAUCAUUGACUUAGGAUUGCAGACUAUUAAUUUCAUCUAUAAAUCAGGCAUAAUAUAAUGUACCCAUGAUUGAACUAAGAAAUUAUAUAACUUCUGCUCUUAUUCCUCGUGUUUUCACUGACCCUGACAUAAAUGAAUUGAAAAGUAGAAAUUUGAAAUACUGGGAUUUGUAUUUUAUCAAAUUGCAGUGCAAAUCCUUUUGCACUACUCUGAGAGUAAAGCCAUUCCACUCAUAGUUCUUUACUUACACGUGAACACAUGCAAAGACCGUGAUGACGCAUACCUUCUAUAUAGUAUUUUCACUUACAAUUUAGUCCAUCAAAUAUUUCUAUAUAUGCUCUCUAAUGCUUAAUUAGGUAUUUUUUAAAAAUAGGUUAUUUCACAUUCUCCUCAUUUUAGCUUUGUUGUCAUACAUUGCUCAACUUAUAGCAAAAAAGAAAUAACUAGUUUUAUGGUUAAUGAACAAGCAAACAAAAGGAUCAAAACCACCAUGAAAACCCAGUCCUUGCCUCCUAAUUGUUUAAAUGUGUCAGCCAUGAAUGUCUCAAGUUUCCUUUUGACAGCUCAGUAAUUGAGUUAUGUGCAUACAGUAGAGGUCCAUCUCCAUGUAAAUAGGAUUGGAAGGAAGAUUCGGAACUCUGUUCUCAGAAAGCCAAAAUAUUGUUUUAUGCAGUCUAAUCUAGUUCACGAAAUCAAAUUCCAUACAUGAAUUUUGACCAUCAUGGAAUUCCAUGACUUCUUAACCAGUCUUUUCUUUCCCUUUGAAAUCCUGGAGAAUAUUUUACAGUUAAAGCAAUGGGCUAACUGAAGAGACUUUUCUUUCAGCCUGACCUUCUCUCUUAUGCCAUGUGUGUAUAAUCUCUGCUCCUGACUCAUUACCUACUUUCUGGGAUACUGGGCAGAGAAAAUGCCUAGACUGUAGGGAUUUUACCAAAGCCACUGAGGUCACUUUAUAAACAGACUGUGUUUAAAGGAGGUUUUAAGAGCUCCUAGGAAAUGUGAAACCCACUGAGGUUCUGCCCAGGGAAAAGACAACCCCCAAUCUCUAAUUCUCUCUUGCUCAAUCCAUGGAAAAAGAUCCAGUCAGACAAGUUGCUGAGUUUAAGGUCAAACUGAAAUUCUUUUCCCACCUCUUUUCAUUUUUUCCAAGCCAAACAUUUCACUGGCUCUAAUGCAGAAAGCAUAGACGUUUAUCCUUACUUGCCCUAGAAACCCUGUUAUUUUCAUCUUAAAUAACCAGUCUCUCUGGCUUAGAACUUUUAACCCACUACCAAGUGAAGUUUCACUGGAUUUGCUCUCUUCUGAUUUGUCUCAAUUUGUACCAUUUUAACUCAUAGAUAUACAAGCCAACGUGUUGAAUUUUACUUAUCUACACAUAACCAGCCAGCAUUUUCCACCUGUGAGAUUUCUCUUCAGCUAAAACCUCAAUUUUCCUCCGCUUUUUGUUAACAGAAGUCCUCUGAAGGUCUCAAUUCUAUUAUCUUUUAUUUUCUUUUUAGUCUAUUCUGACCAGGUCUUUGUUUUCACAACUUAGUUAAUACUUAUGUAAUAGUCACCAAUGACUGCCAUCUUACAAAAUCUAAUGGUCAGAAAUGUAAAAUCUUCAUUUAUAAAACCUCUAGAAGAAAAAGAGGAGAAAACCUUUGUGGACUUGAGUUAGAGAUUUCUUUGAUAUGACAGAAAAAGCCUAAUUCAUGAAAAAAUGAUUAGUUGGACUUUAUCAAACUUAGAAACUUUCUGCUCUUUGAAAAACACUAUUAAAAGAAUGAAAAGACAAGCCACAGACUAGGAGAAAAUAUUUGAGAAGAAAAUGUCUGAUAAAAACUAGUAUCCAUGAGGAUGUAGGUUUGAUCCCUGGCCUCGCUCAGUGCAUCAGGGAUCCAGCUUUGUCAUGAACUGUGGUGUUAAGUCACAGACGUGGCUCAGAUCCAGAGUGGCUGUGGCUAUGGUAUAGGCCAGCAGGUGAAGCUCUGAUUCGACCCCUGGUCUGGGAAAUUCCAUAUGCCAUGGGUACGC